Molecule: ribosomal RNA, 777 nt
Filed under: marine sediment metagenome
Description: bacterial SSU rRNA
Rfam family: Bacterial small subunit ribosomal RNA
Source: RNAcentral
AGAGUUUGAUCCUGGCUCAGGACGAACGCUGGCGGCGGGCCUAACACAUGCAAGUCGAACGCACUCGACCUUCGGGUCACAUGAGUGAGUGGCGAACGGGUGAGUAACACGUGAGAAACCUACCCUGGAGUAUGGGAUAAGCGGAAGAAAUUCCGUCUAAUACCGUAUAUCUUGGCGAGAUCGCAUGAUCUUGCCAAGAAAGCUCCGGCGCUCUGGGAGGGUCUCGCGGCCUAUCAGCUAGUUGGUGAGGUAAUGGCUCACCAAGGCAUCGACGGGUAGCUAGUCUGAGAGGACGAUUAGCCACACUGGAACUGAGACACGGUCCAGACUCCUACGGGAGGCAGCAGUGGGGAAUCUUGCGCAAUGGGCGAAAGCCUGACGCAGCCACGCCGCGUGAGGGAUGACGGCUCUCGGGUUGUAAACCUCUUUCAGCAGGGACGAAAAUGACGGUACCUGCAGAAGAAGCCCCGGCCAACUACGUGCCAGCAGCCGCGGUAACACGUAGGGGGCGAGCGUUGUCCGGAUUUAUUGGGCGUAAAGAGCUCGUAGGCGGUUCAGUAAGUCAGAUGUGAAAGUCCAAGGCUCAACCUUGGAAAGCCAUUUGAUACUGCUGUGACUUGAGUCCGGUAGGGGAGUGUGGAAUUCCUGGUGUAGCGGUGAAAUGCGCAGAUAUCAGGAGGAACACCAGCGGCGAAGGCGGCACUCUGGGCCGGUACUGACGCUGAGGAGCGAAAGCAUGGGGAGCAAACAGGAUUAGAUACCCUGGUAGUCCAUGCC